Molecule: long non-coding RNA, 1035 nt
Filed under: Mus spicilegus (steppe mouse)
Lineage: Eukaryota; Metazoa; Chordata; Mammalia; Rodentia; Muridae
Description: lncRNA (ENSMSIG00000019571.1)
Source: RNAcentral
CCUGGAACUCACUACGCAGACCAAGCUGGCCUAAAACUCACAGAGAUACUCGAGUCUCUCUCUGCCCCUGAGCACUGGGAUUAAAGGUUGUGCUACAGUACCCAGUUGACUACUAUUAUUUGAAGGGCCAGCGUCAUCUUUGCCUUGUGCACCCAUACCCUCUAUAUUGACUAUUUUCAUUUCUCUACUUGCUUUGCAACCUAUACUGCUGGGAGCAAUAUCUUCCCCAAAAGAAGCCCAUGCCCUCAAGUCUGGAACCUCCAAAAGCAGCCUAAUUGGUAAAGUGUCUUUGUGGAUAUAAUUAAAGACCUGAAGUGAGAACCCUGAAUUUAGAGUAUCCCAGGCAUCAACACCAGGUGGGAGAGAGCAGAGGCUGGGGGCAGCGAGAGAGACAAGACAGGUAGAGCCACCCAGGAGCUUGGACCAUGGACACCUUGAGUUCAGACUUCUAGACUCCUGGGUGAUGUGAGCCGAAGUUCCUGUUUCUUAAGACACUAGCUUUGUGAUCAUUUGUCAGGGCAGCCACAGGGAAUCGCUGCACCGACCGACUCUGUUGUUUACACACUAUAUAUAAUAGAACCCACAGGCCCACAGCUAUGCCCCACACAGCCAUCACACAGAGCUCACUGCAGGCCCCCGCCCAAUGCUGUCCCUGCAAGCCCCUGCCAAGGUCAUCUCCCUUUCUACUCUGAGGCAUUUUACAGGCUAAAUAGAUGUGGUCCAUCUUCUGCGGCCCAGAGGCACCCACCACUGUGGAUCACUCCUUCCUCUCUUCCAGGCACAGCUUCCUGUGUGUCCUCUGCCCUCAGCCCUCAGGACACCGAAGUCCAAGGACAGAGCCCAUGGCUGCUCCCAUCAAGUGCCAGGUGGACAGUAAAGAGGCAGAAUGUGAAUAAACAAGUCCACAGAGCCACUGACACGAGAGUGGUGACAGCCGUCCUUUCCAUGAGAGGCCCCUUACCACCCUGGACCCUGGCCAAAAUACCAAUCCAUUCAACUCAUCCAUCAGCCUGACAGGCCCUGAUUCAGUUGCCC